Molecule: long non-coding RNA, 473 nt
Organism: Micropterus salmoides (largemouth bass)
Lineage: Eukaryota; Metazoa; Chordata; Actinopteri; Centrarchiformes; Centrarchidae
Exons: 2
Source: RefSeq, a predicted model, not a curated record
GCCAAGACCUUAUUCCCCUCCCCCACCUUCCCCAACCAAAUGUGAGUGGUGGCUGGCAGCCGUGCUACAAUACGGCCUUGACACUUUGAUGCUGGGGUUGUUGAUAAGGGAGGUUUCAUCUGGGCAGUGAGGACACAGCCAUCCGCACAUUUCGAGAGAUGCUAUCCAUCUCAAGGCUGGACAUGAUAAAGCACAAGGAAUACAGAAGAGGGUAUUUGGGAACUCAAGCUGAAGGCAACACUGACGGAAAGUGCAAGACACCCAUUCAUAAGAGCAAGGGCUGCACAUGGAGUAAAAGUGGUUUCACUUGAAUUUAAGCUAAACAAUGUGUGGGAUGUAAUGCUGAAAAACACUAUACAAUACUUGUCAAUGUUUUUUUUUUCAGUGGUAGUGUGUUGUUGACAAAAUGACAAUUUAUUCAGACUGUAAUGUGGCCUAUUAAAAGAUUAUUAAAGUUUACAGCAUGGGACUUA